RNAcentral lists this long non-coding RNA (19372 nucleotides) under Sorghum bicolor (sorghum). RNAcentral's name for it is "long non-coding RNA (SBIC_LNC011757)". The record is from RNAcentral. Lineage: Eukaryota; Viridiplantae; Streptophyta; Magnoliopsida; Poales; Poaceae.
GACGACGACGAGGAGGAGGAGGAGGGGGACUCGUACGCCACGGCGCUCCUCCCGCUCGCGCUGCCGCUGCCGCUCGGCGCCGGAGCCACCGGCGGCUCCGGCUCCGUGGCGGCGGCGGCGGGGUAGUUGGUGGUGGCGCCGGGCCCGCGGAGCCUGCGCGCGGCGGCGUCGUACGCCCGCGCCGCCUGCUCGGGCGUGUCGAAGGUGCCCAGCCACACGCGCGCCUUCGUCACGGGGUCACGGAUCUCCGCCGCGUACCGGCCCCACGGCCGCUUCCGCACGCCGCGCAGCCUCGGCGGCGCGAACAAGCCGCUUCCGCUGCUGCUGCUGCUUCCGGACGGCGACGUCCAUCUCUUGGGCGCCAUGGAACUCGACCGCCGCUCUCGCAGGCUUGUUGCCUUGGGAGUAUAUAUGUACCCAUGGGAGGCGGGCGGCGGGACGGUGACAGGGUGAGGUGGAGUGUGGGGCCCAUGGCGCCGCCCCCUGCGCGUUUCGGCGGCUCCUGCCGUCGGGUUUCCGGGGGCCCGUUUCGUGAGCGUCGGCGCGUCAUGCUCAUCGUGCGCGUGAGCUACCGUGUCUGCUCUAGAGGAGGGGCUGAUAGAAGAAAGUUGCCACCCCCAACUGGAAUCCAUCAUUAUCACAAAAAAAAAAAAAAACUGGAAUCCAUCGUUUCUUCGAGAGCGUUGGUGCAUCGACGCACGUGCGCUGUAUAAGAAUUGUGUGAACGUAAUAACCGUUUCUUAGGGUGCGUUUGGUUUCCUUACAAAGGCCCACGGUGACCAAGUAAUUGCCUUGUGUGUCUAGUUGUUGUAUCCAUGGAGCAAGGCCUAAGAAAGAAAUCAUUUGGUUUGCUCCUAUUCGCACCGCUCCUCUCUGCUUAGUGCAGGCAGAUGCGCCUGGAUGCAUGCAUGAGCUUGGUCCAUGCAAAACAAACAAAGAAUUUGUAUACAGGCCGACGCGCUCCUUUUGCACCGUGUGAGCCAGAUUUGAUAGCUGCGCCAACCAAACAAUAGUUAAAUCCGUGUCUCGGAAGAUAGGUUGGGGUACUCUUUUUACAGUGUGUGCCAACCAAAAUAAUCAUAGAAUCCGUAUCCCAGAAGGCUGGCUGGCGUGCUCCUUUAAUUUGCAUUGUGUGAGCCAGGUCCAAUGACUAUGCCAGUCAAGCAAUCGAACAAUUCAUAUCUCGGGAGGCUAGCUAGCGCACCCCAUUUGCACCGCGUGAGCUAGUUCUGAUAGCUACGCCAACCAAACAAUAGGAGGAUGCGUAUGCCAGGAGGCAGGUUGGCGCGCUCCUAAAAUUCGUAUCUCAGGAGGCUGGUUGGCGCGUCCCUUUUGCACCGCGUGAGCUAGAUUCGAUAGUUGCGCCAACCAAACAAUUGUAAGAUCCGUAUCUCCCAGGAGACAGGUUGGUGUGCUCCUUUAAUUUGCACCGCGUGAGCCAUGUCCAAUAACUAUGCCAGCCAAGCAAUCGCAAAAUUCGUAUCUUGGGAGGCUGGUUGGCGCGCCCCUUUUACACCGCGUGAGCCAGAUCCGAUAGUUGCGCCAACCAAACAAUUGUAGGAUCUGUAUCCUAGGAUACAGGUUGGUGUGCUCCUUUAUUUUGCACCGCGUGAGCCAUGUCCGACGGAUGUGCCAGCCAAACAAUUGUAGAAUUCGUAUCUCGGGAGGCUAGUUGGCGUGCCCCUUUUGCACCGCGUGAGCCAGAUCCGAUAGCUGCGCCAACCAAACAAUUGCAGGAUCCGUAUCCUAGGAUACAGGUUGGUGUGCUCCUUUAUUUUGCACCGCGUGAGCCAUGUCCGACGGAUGUGCCAGCCAAACAAUUGUAGAAUUCGUAUCUCGGGAGGUUGGUUGGCGCGCCCCUUUUGCACAGCGUGAGCCAGAUCCGAUAGCUGCGCCAACCAAACAAUUGCAGGAUCCAUAUCCUAGGAUACAGGUUGGUGUGCUCCUUUAUUUUGCACCGCGUGAGCCAAGUUCGACAGAUGUGCGAGCCAAACAAUUGUAGAAUUCGUAUCUCAAGAGGCUGGCUGGUGCGCUCCUUUUGCACCGAGUGAGCCGAGUUGGUAUGCUCCUUUAAUUUGCACCGCGUGAGCCAGGUCCGACGGCUAUGCCAGCCAAACAAUUGCAGAAUUCGUAUCUCAGGAGGCUGGCUGGCGCGCUCUCUUUGCACCGCGUGAGCCAGAUCCAAUAGUUGCGCCAACCAAACAAUUACAGGGCGCGUAUCCCGGUAGGCAGGUUGGCGCGCUCCUUUUGCACCGCAUGAACGAGGUCUGAUAGCUAGGCCAACCAAACAAAUCGCAAAAAUCGUAUCUCGGGAGGCGGGUUGGUGUGCUCGUUUUGCGCCGCGUGAGCUAGUGCGACAACCGCGCCAUCAAAACAAUCGCAGAAUCCAUAUCUUGGGAAGCAAGCCCGCGCGCUCCUUUUGCACGGUGAGUCGGUCCAACAGCUACGCCAACCAAGCAAUCGCAGAAUCCGUAUUAUAGGAGACAAGUUGGUGCGCUCCUUUUGCACCGCGUGAGCCAGAUUCGAUAGCUGCGCCAACCAAACAAUCGUUUGUUCUCGCACACAGAGGGCUUCGAUGAGGGCAGGAGCAGCCACCAAUCACGCGUUUAUUUCAUUCUUUUCACUUCAAUAGAUUUGCUUGGGAAAGUGUUAUGCUGUGCUUGUUUGUUGCCGGAGCCGAUGUAGCAAGCUCUCUUCCCCGAGCAGGUCGAAUAGGGAGUGUAACACUUCGCGUUUUGUAUCAUUCCAAAUGAUAGGAAAUUUUGGGUUUUCUAAAUUUAUUGUUUUAAUGUAUAUGUUUAGAUAUAGUGUAUUUAAGUACAUAAUAUCUAGAAAAAUCUAAAUUAUUUCAUAAUUUAGAAUAUGGGGGAGUAUUUGCGUAGGACAGGGCAUGCUCAAACUACCGAUGCCUACUGUAGAUCGGUAGGCAUGUCAGCACGUGGUUUUGCUGUCCCAAACAGCUGAAAAAAAAAUCGGCCCAAGGGUUCAAGAGAAAGGCACCGAUGCUCAAAGCGACGUCGUAAUUUGUUUCCGUUAAAAAAUUGCGACGUCGUAAUUUGAGAAGAAGAAAAAAAGGACUGAAGGAGUAUAUGUGCAGGUGGGCAGCCUGGCAGGUAGCGUGGCGAGGGCGGCGGCUACGGCUGCUGCGACUGCGAGUGCCCCCCACCCGCACGCACGCACACGGACGGAACGGCGCCGGCCAACAGCCGCGCCGCCGGGUCGUGUGGCUUUGGGGCGGUUGGUGGAGGGGGUUGGACGGUGCCACGCACACACACGUCGCUUUCCUAAUUUUUUUUUUAAUAAUUUCCCGCCGUCCGGGCCGGUCCCGGCGCGGCGCGGCCCCUGCUGCCGACACGAAACGAGUGCGUUAACUCAAAAAAAAAACAAAAUAACUUUCGUUUAAUCUAAUUAUGGACUAAGUAGAUUUAAAAAUUUUGUCUCGUAAAUUACAGAUAAACUAUAUAAUUAGUUAUUUUUUUUAUUUAUAUUUAGUAUUUGAUAUAUACCACAAAAUUUGAUGUGACGAGAAAUGUGAAAUUUUUUUGCAAAAUAUUUUAGAAACUAAACAAGGCACAAGUCAUGUAAACUGCUGGAGUUCAAAAGUGACGGAUAUACAGUAAAAAUGAGAGCCGCUGGGGGCAUAAUUCAUUGUUGCGUGCCUUUCAGCAAAGAUGCAAAUCUGUCAGUUUGUAUAACAAAGAAAACACGGCUAAGCGCAUGCACAAAUCUGCAUCCUAUUUACAGUUGUACAUUUGAACGACUGCCUCCGAUCGAUUACCAACUACUCCUGGACGACAGUAAAAUAAUUAAAAAAAAACUACUCCUGGACGACAGCGGCAAUCACACGACCAUCUCGGCCGGCAGCAGCGCCAGGUUGAGGUCGAGCCCUAGACCCAGGCCCACGGGCGGCGGCGCCGCGUCGAACACCACAGAUGACGACGACGGCGACCCAGAGCAGCUCCGCUCCUCCUCGCUCUUCGGAAGCAGGAACGGCAGCAGGGCCGGUGUCGGAUCCAUGAACAGCUGGUACGUCUUUGCGACCGAAGCCGAAGCCGGCAGCGCCAGGCUCAGGUCCAGCGACGGGGCCGGCGCCGUGACGGCCACCGUCACCGACUCCGGCAGCAGGGAGCACGAGGAGGAGGAGGAGGAGGACGACGACAACGACGACUCGUGCACAACGGCGCUCCCGCUCCCGCUCGCGCUCCGCGCUGGAGCCUCCGCCGGCGCCAUCGGCUCCGAGGACUGGGGGUAGUUGGUGGUGGCGCCGGGCCCACGGAGCCUGCGCGCGGCGGCGUCGUACGCCCGCGCCGCCUGCUCGGGCGUGUCGAAGGUGCCCAGCCACACGCGCGCCUUCCUAACGGGGUCACGGAUCUCCGCCGCGUACCGGCCCCACGGCCGCUUCCGCACGCCGCGCAGCCUCGGCUGCUCCGCCGCCGCCGCCUCGAACACGCCGCUGCCGCUGCUUCCGGCCGGUGACGACGAUCUCUUGGGCGCCAUGGAUGAUGAUGGAUGGAGACUCGCCUCUCGCCUUGUUUUGCUGCCGUGGAGCUUCGGGGGAUGGAUGGAUGGAUGGCUGGAUGGAUUGGAAUGCCGCUGGCGCCUGGCGGGGCGCGGGACUAUAUAUACACCACGGCAACGGGACGGCCGGGGGGGCGGCGGGACGGUGACAGGGUGAGGUGGACUGUGGGGCCCACGCCAAGCAGACGCACGGAAGGUGAGGCCUGAUCUGACUGUGGACCGGUCCUUGGGCGGCCGUGGGGCCCAGGGCGCCGCCCCCCAGCGCGUUUCGGUGGCUCCUGCCGUCGGGUUCCUAGGGCCGUUUCGUGCGCGUCGGGGCGUCGUGCUCUCUCGGGGAUCCGUCUCGUGGCUCACGUGGCACGCGACCGCGUAGGUUUUGCCCGCGCAGCCGUCGGAUCUAAGUUUGACGUUUUUAUGAUGUGUGUGAAUAGAGCUUGAGGUCGAUGCAGGUCUAGUUGUUCUUCCUCCAUCUUAGAGGAUAAUAAUAAUAAUAUAGUUGUACUAAUACCGUUAGACUAUUUCGUGCACAAUUUUGCAAACUACACACUCGAUUUAUAGCGAUAAUAUAUAAGUGUAUUUUUGGCAUGACUUUUUGGGUUCAGAUUUUUCCACACCAGCAAUUUUUUUUUUCCUUUCAUCGUGAAAUGAACGUGGAGCCGAGACGAGCCAUGAUCCUUCGAUCCUAUAUUGUGAAGUUUUUAGCCCAAGAGAGCCCAUCCAAAUAGGAAACAUGCAUGUCUACGAAUCGUGAUAUGACCAAAAAUUGCUAGAAAUGAAGGAGAAUGGGUUUAAUAAGAUUUCUUUUAAGCUAUGACAUACAAUCGGAGGUGCUCUCUUGCUGUACUCUUGCACAACUGUUUGAUUUUGCACUGCAUAGUUGUAGCAAAAAAAACCCCACCUAAAGGGGCCCGAGCAACUACCCCAUCGCAUUUCGGCAGCUCCUAUCGUCGGACUGCUAGGCCGGUUUCGUGUGUGUCGCGGCGUCAUGCUCAUGGGCUACCAUGUUCGUUCUACUGUUGGCUCGCUCCGAUAUGCCUCGUGUCUCUUAUGUUGGAUGUCGCGGAGGGAGGAGUAGGGGCGUUGCUCAAAAGGAGGGGAGGAUGGCUGCGCUACGCAAGAGGAAGGAGGACGUGGGUCUCGCCUGGAGCUCGUGAGAGAGGGUGAGGUGAGUAGAGUACCGAUUGAAACCUUAAGUUACAUAUUUAUAGUGGAUCAGCCUACAGGGCCUAAAUCUGGGCCUAUUUGGGCCGAGUUAUUUUUUCGUGGCGGUUUAGUUUGGACGCUAGUCUUCAAAAAUAGAUGUAUUUUUGGAGGCGGGCCAGUCAUAAAAUCCGUCUCUGUUAAUAGAUUUUAGGAGGCGGUUAUUUUUUAACCGUCUCUGUAAAUCUAUUUUGCGAAGCCUCUAUAAAUCUAUUUUAUGAGGCGGUUGAUUGUAACCACUUUAGUUAAGAAAAAACAAUCGUCUUAGUUAAUUCGAAGCAUUAACCGAGGUGAUUGAAAUGGCUGACCGCCUCUAAGAACUAAUCCUAAAUGUCCGAUUUUUUUAGUGGUGGAAGUUGCACGUCUACAACUUGUACACAGUUUUCUGGGGCAUCGUGCUCCUGCAGGGCACGCCGGCACGCUCACUCCUGCACUGGCCAUCGCAACGCGGUAUCCAUCUUUUCUUCGGCGUGUCAAGGAAAAAAAAAACGAGAAAAAAAAGAAACGCAGCGCGAGGGAAUAUUGUGCAGGUGGGCAGGUAGCGUGGCGGCGGCGGCGGCGGCUGCUGCUGAGUGCCCCCACCCGCACGCGGAACGGCGCGGGCCCAGGGCCCACAGCCCCGCCGCCGGGUCGUGUGGACUUUUUAGGCCUUGUUUACUUUCCAGAAAAAUUUGCAAAAUUUUUCACAUUCUCUGUCACAUCGAAUCUUUAGACGUAUGUAUGGAGUAUUAAAUAUAGACGAAAAUAAAAACUAAUUGCACAGUUUGGUCGAAAUUGACGAGACGAAUCUUUUCAGUCUAGUUAGUCCAUGAUUGGACAAUAUUUGUCAAAUACAAACGAAAGUGCUACAGUGUCCAUUUCUCAAAAUUUUUCGGAACUAAACAAGGCCUUAAAAUCCGGGGGCGGCGGCUGGUGGCGACGUCGUCGGCGGCACGCGGCAGGCACAUCGCGGCGCGGGGAGCAGCCGCCACGCCGCUGUCAGUGGGGGUUGGACGGUGCCCUGCCGCAGCGCACACACACGCGUCGCUUUUGCCACUUUUUUUUAUUCCCGCCGUCCGGGCGGCCGGGUCCCGGCGCGGCGCUGGGUGGGUGCCGACACGACGCGAGAGGGCGUUUGCCUCGAAGUCUCGGUGUACUUGCCAGGACAGCCGAACGUGCCGCCGCCCGCCUUGUGCGCGCCGCGUCUUCGGCCGCCGCUGCUCACCACGCGUGACGCGGACUUGACCGGGCGUUACCGCCCGUCCCGUAUCGGUACCGUGUAAAUUAACCCCGGAUCUGUAGAGGUUUGUCGACGAAUGUGGAAACAAACGUAUAUGUACGGCCAUGUGGAAACAAACGUAUAUCACAUCGAAUCUUUAGACGUAUGCAUGGAAUAUUAAAUAUAGAUUAAAAUAAAAAUUAAUUACACAGUUUGAUCGAAAUUGAUGAGACGAAUCUUUUAAGCCUAGUUAGUUUAUAAUUAGACAAUAUUUGUCAAAUAUAAAUGCAAAAUAUUAUUAUUUAUAAAAAUUAAUUGCACAGUUUGAUCGAAAUUGACGAGACGAAUCUUUUAAGCCUAGUUAGUUUAUAAUUAGACAAUAUUUGUCAAAUAUAAAUGAAAAAUAUUAUUAUUUCUAUUUUGCAAAAUUUUUUGGAAGUAUAGUCUGCAACUGAACACAUGAGACCGUAGUAGUACACGGAACGGAUCUGUCAUGACACUUUGAAACUUUGCAUGCUCUGUAGGGUUGCGAGCGGAGUAUAGUCUGCAACUGAACACAUGAGGACCUUGAUUACCUUGGCCUUGUUCAGUUCCAAUUUUUUUUUUAAUUUUUGAUAUCGUAUCACUUUCAUUUAUGGAGCAACUAUGUUCGAAAGAUUUAUUUUACGAUUGUAUAAUUUUGUUUUUAUUUAUAUUUAAUAUUUUAUAUACGUGGCGCAAAAUUCAAUGAGACAAGAAAUAUUUAUUUUUUUUGUUUUUGACGUGAACUAAGGCCCUUGCAAAAUUUUUGCAAUUCUUUUCGGCACAUGUAUGAAUAUUAAAUAUAGAUAAAAAAACUAAUAAUUUACAAGACAAAUCUUUUAAAUCUAAACAAUAUUUGUUAAAUACAAACGAAAAUACUACCAUGUCUAUUUUGUAAAAAAAAAAAGUUGCAACUAAACAAGUCCGAGAAAGAGAUUGCUGAUUUCCGUGAAAACUUUUUUUUCUUUUGGCGAUAGAUUUCCGUGAAAACUGAUGAACUGCAUGAGAGAGAUUUACUUUUGCUGGAAGUUCUUGCCUUGCAUGAUCGGGGAAAAGAGUGAUCUACAAAAGCACGCUAGCUAACAGUAACAGCUGCCUAUUUACAUUGGUGUUACACACGGUAGCUGCCUGGCUGAUGACACCUUCGAAAUUGGUGAUGCUCAUUUCGGUCGCUACUACAUGACCAUCUCGACGGGCGGAGGCAGGUUGAGGUCAAGAAGCCCCAAGCCCACCACCUGCCCCGCAGACGACGACGACGACGAUGACCACCGUGCGGAGCGGCUCCUCCGCUCUUCCUCGCUCCUCGGCGGCAACAACUGACGCAGCGCCAGCGCAGCCGUCGGGUCCAUGAACAGCUGGUAGGGCUUCACGGCCGCCGCCGCAUCAGCCGGCAGCGCCAGGCUGAGGUCCAGUGACGCCGCGACCGCCACCGUCACCGACUCCUGCGGCGGCAGCGGCAGGGACCACGAAGACGACGACGACGGCUCGUACACCACGCCGCUCCCGCUCGCGCUCGCCGCUGGAACCGGCUCUGAGGCCUGGGGGUAGUUGGUGGUGGCGCCGGGCCCGCGGAGCCUGCGCGCGGCGGCGUCGUAGGCCCGCGCCGCCUGCUCGGGCGUGUCGAAGGUGCCGAGCCACACGCGCGCCUUCCGCACCGGGUCACGGAUCUCCGCCGCGUACCGGCCCCACGGCCGCUUCCGCACGCCGCGCAGCCUCGGCUGCUCCGCCGCCGCCGCCAACGGGCACACACCGCCGCCGCUGCUGCUGUUGCUUCCAGACGACAGCGACGUCGAUCUCUUGGGCGCCAUGGGUGGAGCAGUAAUCCAACUGGUGGUGUCGCCUCGGCCUCGCGUACUCGCCGCUCGUAGCCUGUUUGCCUUGCUUUUCUGCUGGUUGUUUGUUUGCCGUGGAGCUCGGAGGAUUGAUGGAUGGAUGCCAAUGUCGCUGGCGAGGCGCCGGAAUAUAUAUAUAUACACACGGGACGGGAGAAGGGGCGGCCGGCGGCUGGACGGUGACAGGGGUAAAGGUGGAGUGUGAGGGGCCCACGCCGAGCAGAUGCACGGAACGUGAGGUCUGGUCUGACUACGGACCGGGCGGUGGGGCCCAAGGCGCCGCCCCGGCCGGCGGCUCCUGCCGUCGGGUUCCCGGCCGGCCCGUUCCGUGUGCGUCGCGUCGGCGCGUCAUGGUCAGGCGCGUGCGUGAGCUACCGUGUGUGCUCUGCCGCUGGCUCGCUCGGAUCCGCCUCGAUCGUGUGGCUCGUGUUGGAUGUCGCCGCCGCGUUGAUUUGCCUGCGUAGCCGUCGGAUCGAUGUUGGACGCUUGAUUAUCUAUGUGAAUACACGAUUUAUAGACUUUGGCCUUGGUUUAGUUCACUCAAAAACCAAAAAUAUUUCAAAAUUAUCUGUCACAUCAAAAUCUGUGUUACAUGUAUGGAGCAUUAAAUAUACGCGAAAACAAAAACUAAUUGCACAGUUUGUCUGUAAAUCGUGAGAUAAAUCUUUCGAGUGUAGAUAAAAUUUUUGAGAACUAAACAAGACCUAUUUCGUGCACAAUUUUGCAGACUACAUACUCGAUUUAUAGGGAUAGUAACUGUCUUUUUUGGUUCGUGUUUUUCUACACCAGCAAUUCAUUUUCUCUCUCUCUCUCCUUGUGAAAUGAACGUGGGGCUUUCUUAAAAAAAUGAACUUGGAGCCAAAAGGAGCUAUGAUUCUACGAUCAUAUAGUUAUGAAGUUGUAGUCCAAAAGAGCUCUUCCAAAUGAGAUCUAGGGAUGAAAACAUGCCUAUCUACGAGACGUGAUAUUGCCAAAGUUUACUAGGAAUGAAGAAGAAUAGGUUUAAUAAGAUUCCUUUGAAUGUGCCAUGAUCCUCAAUCAUAUAGUCAUAAGCGGAUCCACCAGUAGCGCGAGCCAGGGCGGCCGCCCUAGGUCCUUUUAGGACUGAUCUAAAACUAUAUAUAAAUUUUAGAUAUUAAUACGAAAUGAAAAGAGACUUCUAGAGUAUCCGAUGGAGGUUGAAAACACCUUAGAUGUCUUGGACCAUCAUGUGUGGUUCAGCCAAUAUAGAAAACCACAGCCCACAAAGCGCAAUAAGAAUAUGAUCGGUGUUUCUCACGUUUCUCGCUAUUCUCGACUUCUGACUUUCUGGUCAUCUCUCUCGUUAAUUCACAAACUUGCGGAACCUAAGAACCUGCGCCGGGCUACAGGUAUCUUCAUUUUUUAUUUGCCCUUUUCACAUAGUUAAUUAUUUAAAAUUUGAUUAAGGAUGAAUCAUCGAAUGAUUUAGUGAAGUCAGUUUAGAACUAUUAGUAUUAGUAUGUAUGACUUCUCUUAAUUUAAGGAACAAACUUCUUUAAUUUUGAUGUAGAAAAUAUAUACUGGAAACUUUAAUAUUGGUUAAAUUAUUAUGUUGACAAAGCAACUUAUGGAAUUUGUUAGCUUAUAUUGUCAUUGGUUUACUAAAAUUUUAUAGUAUAAGUUCGCCUUAGGUCAUUUCUCGAGCUGGAUUCGCCACUAGUGAGAAGACGAGCCGAAAAGAACCGGUUCAAAUGGGGUCCAAGAAUAGAAACAUGCAUGAUCGCAUAGGAAAUGUGGAAUGAGCGGAACGCCCGCUGCUUCAGGGGAGGCAGCACGCAGCUCGCCACAGUGAAGGACAACAUCAAAAGGGAAGCAGAGCUAUAGAUCCUAGCUGGCGCCAAGCACUUGGGGAGUCUAGUAAUGUGAGUAAUGGGUUAGCACAUUGAGUAGCGAGGAUGCAUGAGAACUGAAAAUGUAAACCGCCUCGUUUGUAUUUAAACUCUAUAUAUAUGCUCUUAACGAAAAUACGCGCAAAUCUUUGCGUGAUUAAGAAAAAAAAAAGACAAAAGGCACGAAAAUCUUAGAGAAAACAAAAGCAACAGAUUCACAUGCGUGGCGACUGCUGUGAUCGAUUGAUCAAGGUAUAGCAGUGCGGGAGCAAAAGCGAACAAAAGAGGAGGUACUCAUUGGCGGAUUCAGGGGGGGCUGGGGGGGGCUGCAGCCCCCCCCCCCCUUGGGCAAGAAAUUUUGUUAACAAAAAUAUUUUUUAUACUAAAAAUUCAUAUUUUUAUUAACAAAAAUACAUUUUUAGUUCUAAAAAUUCAUAUUUUUCAACAAAAAUACAUUUUUAGUUCUAAAAAUUCGUUUAGUGAAUUCCUGAAGAUAAAAAACUUUUUGUAUUUGAUAUUUUUCUAUGCUUAUUGUGUAUUUUUUUACUUUGAGUACUUUAAAAAUUAUCAAUUUUAGCUAUAUCUAUUAGUGUACUAGGUCUAACGAGCAAAAAAAAAAUUUUUAGCUUAUGUCAUUUAGCCCCCAUCUCAGUCCGUUUCUGGAUCCGCCACUGGAGGUACUACCGUUGUUUGUUAACGUUUCUAAGCUGGAGAAGGCGACAACAAACCAUUUUAAUUCUAAAGAAAUAAAAAUAUCAGUCAAAUCGACGUCGUGGUGAGAAAAAAGAGAGGGAAAAACAAAAGAAACGCAGCGCGAGGGAAUAUUGUGUGCAGUGCAGGUACGUACUACCAGGUAGCGUGGCGGUGGCGGCGGCUGCGAGUGGCCCCCCACCUCACCCAGACGCGCGCGGACGGAACGGCGCCGCGGAUCGUGUGGACUUUUUUAAAAACCGGGGGAGCGGCGGUUGGUGGCGACGUCGUCGGCGGCACGCGGCAGGCGCAUCGCGGGGAGCAGCCGUCACGCCGCUGUCAGGGGGUUGGACGGUCUGAUGCACCGCACGCACACACGCGUCGCUUUACCACUUGUUUUUGUUUUUUUUUUAUAAAAAAAUUCCCGCCGUCGGGGCCGGGUCCCGGUGUGCCGACAUGACACGAGCGUGCGUUGCCUCGAAGUCUCGGUGGAGUACUUGCCAGGACAGAUCGAACGUGCCGCCGCCCGCCUUGUGCGCGCCGCGUCUUGGGCAGCUCAUCUCGCGUGAACGCGGACUUGAGGUCUGUAAGCUGUCGACGCACGUCGAAACGAACCUCAGGACUUGUCCAAAAAUUUUUUAGAUUUUGACACUGUAGUAUUUUCGUUUUUAUUUGACAAAUAUUAUUUAAUCAUGAAGCAACUAGGCUUGAAAGAUUCGUCUCGUGAUUUACAGGUAAACUGUGCAAUUAGUUAUCUUUUUUAUCUAUAUUUAAUGUUCCAUGCAUGUCCCACAAGAUUCGAUGUGAUGGGGAAUCUUGUAAAGUUUUGGUUUUUGGGUGUAUCUAAACAAAGCCUUAUACUGUAGUAGUACUUUGCAAGCAAGAUUUGUUUAGGCCUUGUUAGUUCAUCCAAAAAAGCAAAAAAUUUUCAGAUUCCCAGUCACAUCGAAUCUUGCGGCAUAUGCAUGGAGCAUUAAAUAUAAACGAAAACAAAAACUAAUUGCACAGUUUACCUGUAAAUUAUGAGAUGAAUCUUUUGAGCCUAAUUAGUCUUUGAUUGGACAAUGUUUGUCAUAUAAAAACGAAAGUGCUACAGUACACCAAAAUGCAAAAUUUUGGGAACUAAACAAGGCCCACCCCUAAAAACUCAAAACUUUUCAAGAUUUCUUGCCAUAUCGAAUCCUGCAGCAAAUAUGCAUAGAGCAUUAAAUAUAGAUAAAAAUAAAAACUGAUUAUACAGUUUGUCUGUAAAUAACGAGACGAAUCUUUUAAGCAUAGUUACUCCAUGAUUAGUCAAUGUUUGUCAAAUAAAAACGAAAAUAUUACAAUGUCGUUUUCCCAAAAUUUUUUGAAACUAAACAAGACCUUAGUUCAAAUUUUUUUGUAAAAUCAGAGUAUUAAAUAAAGUCAAAAAUAAAAAUCAGACAGUUCAUCUGUAAUUUGCGAGACGAAUCUUUUUAGCCUAGUUAGUCUGUGAUUAGAUAAUAUUUGUCAAAGUAUACAUGAAAGUGCUAUAGUAUUUAUUUUACAAAAAAUUUUGAAACUAAGAGCAUCUCCAAGAACUUGGUAAAAUUCACUUGCUAUAUCUUGGGUUAUAGCAAGUUGCUAAAUUGUUUGUCAAGUAAAAAAAAGAUAUGUCUCCAACAAGUUGGUAUUUUUACUUGGUAUAAUUCAAAAACUGGGCCCAUCUUUGUCAAUUUCUGGUACUGGGCCGCUGCGAUCUCUCUCUAUCGUGCCAGCCGCCGCCGCCGUAGCUUUCGUCUGGCCGGUGUCAUCACAGGACACGAUCAAUUCGUCCGGCCGGAAUCAACACACAUCCGGUACUGCUGCUGCUUCCGGCCGGCCAGCACCAGCGACGCAGGCAUCUCCUCCUCCCCUUUGAGGUCAGUAGGUCAUCUCUACGCUCGGCUAGUCUCUGCGGUUUUUUUUCUGAAAAUUGUUUCAUGUUUUAGUUUGCUGUUGAUCCAUGGUGUUCACAACUCUUGAUAUUCAGAAAACAUGCCUAGGAAAAGAUCCCGUCUUCAAAGCCAAUUAGAUGAUUCAUCAUCCGAUGAUGAUGAAUCUUUCUUUCUAUCGGCUGCUGCAAUUGUCGACACCUUCUCCAGUGAGGAAAAAAACAUGGUGGCUCGGUUCCAGGCCAUAGAGUUAUUUACCGUGAUAGAGAAGGCGGGCACGCGAGGAUGUUUAAAGAUUAUUUGGAUAAAAAUCCAACGUACGGCCCUAAAAUGUUCCGUCGGAGGUUUGUGUUCCUUCAUUUCAUACUGAUUUGUUGUAUGUUCGUAAAUAUCACUCUAGUUGUUAAAUUAUGGAUUUGUUUUCUUUAGGUUCAGAAUGUCUAGGGAGCUUUUCAAACGCAUAAUGAAGGCCGUCGAAGAACAUGAUGAUUACUUUGUGCAGAAAAGGAAUGGAGCUGGUGUACUUGGAUUGUCUUGCUUUCAGAAGAUAACUGCUGCAAUGCGUAUGCUCACAUAUGGGGUUCCAGCAGAUGCGACUGAUGAGUACGUGCGCAUUGGCGAAAGUACAGCACUUGAGAGCCUACAUAGAUUUGUUGCUGCAGUGGUUGAAAUUUUUGAAGAUGAAUACCUUAGACAUCUCAAUGAGAAAGACAUAGCACGCCUACUUGCAAUGGGUGAGAACGAAGGCUUCCUCGAAAUGUUAGGGUCCAUCGAUUGCAUGCAUUGGGCGUGGAAGAACUGUCCAUAUGAUAAACAAGGGCAGUACAAGGGGCAUGUGGAGAAGCCGACUAUCAUCUUGGAAGCUGUUGCUAGCGCUGAUCUUUGGAUAUGACAUGCCUUCUUUGGAAUGCUCGGGUCUCAUAAUGAUAUCAACGUUCUCCAUAGUUCUCCUUUAUUUGAUAACUUGGCGGAAGGUAGAGCUCCUGAAGUGAAAUAUUCUGUUAACGGCCACGAGUACACAAUGGGCUACUAUCUUGCAGAUGGUAUAUACCCCGAUUGGGCUACUUUGGUCAAGACAAUCAGACAUCCUAUGGGUAGCAAGAGGCAAUAUUUUGCUAAAGCGCAAGAAGCUGCACGGAAGAUGGUGGAGAGAGCUUUUGGUGUUCUACAGUCUAGGUUAGCCAUUGUUCGAGGACCGGCUCGUUUAUGGGACGUAGAGACAUUGUCAUUGAUCAUGACAGCCUGUGUGAUCAUGCACAACAUGAUUGUCGAAGACGAAGGAUUUGUGGUGGACCCAAACGAGCGUUUCGAUUACGGUGGAGAUAAUGUCCAACCUGAUCAUGGCCACGCUCAUCGAACACUUGAGGAGUUCAUUGAGGCGCACAAAAAAAUCCGAGAUAAGAACACACAUGAGCAGUUGAAAGGAGACCUAAUCGAACACCUUUGGAACCAUCAUCCAGAUUUAUAUUAGAUACCUUUUUCAAUUUUAGUUGCUUCUGUUCUAGUUCUUCAUCGCAUGAAACUUUAGUUGCUACUGUUUUAUUUUUUACUCAAGUACAAUGCACCAGGAAGAUUUGCCGGCCACCAAGAACUGAGCAACGCCCAUCAUCGGCGCUGAUCAAAUGGCAGCACAUAGUGACAAGCACAAUAGCAUGCAAAUAAAGCCAACAUGCUGAAACAAAUAGCAUGCAAAUGACGCAGAUCAGAGGAAGAUUUCAGGACUGGUUCAUAUAGUGAUACUGAAACAAAUGUCGUGCUCAAACUUAAACUUUGAUAAUAGGUUCUACAGACUGAUACAUAAGCUGAACAGAGUACAGAAGAAAUAAUUCAACAAAUCUUUUUUUCUGCAUCAUUUUAAACUAAACUCAACUUUCUUGAUGCUUCGCGAGUAUCUUCUUCUGCAUAAUUUCAAUCCAAGAACGUUGCGUCGGAUUGAGGGAGGUCAUGUCUGCUAGCAUAAUAUCCUUUUCCUCUUUUAUCAAGGUGGCAUCAGCUAAUUUUGUUUCAUUUUCUACCCUCUUUUUCUGCAGCUCGGCUUCAUUUUCUACCCUUUUUUGCUCUAGGUGUAGUGUAGCCUUCUCUAUCUCAAGGGUUUGCAUGAACCUUUCCUCUUUGGUCUUCUCCUUUUCCUUGUCCGCAGCCUCCUUUUUGGCCCACAUCAUGUUGAAAGCUUCGAUGCAAGCCUGCCCACCUCCUUGCCUCAUUUUUUCCUUAGCCUGUGCAAAUAAUUUUGAACAUAUCAAUAAGGAAUAAUUGUUGGGAGACCACAAUAGGGAAAAUUUGCAGGUUAUAUGCUAUAUACCUUCUUUAUCCCAUCUGACCUUUUCCUUGGUUGGGUUUCUUCAUCAUCAACAGGUAUGACUUGAUCAUUAUUAGUGACUCCUUCAUCCCUUGGCCUAGACACCUUUCCUGCCUUCUUGUUCUUUUUGCUGGCUGCUAGUUUUUCUAUCUCUGCUAGUUCUAUCAUAUUGGCUCUCCACUUGUCCUCCCCCUUGAGUAUGGCCCAGCAGUGUUCAAGAGUAAACGUUUUGUGGUCCUUGUCUAAGUCCACAUACAUCUUUUUUGCUUCAUUAAGCUACAGGGAGCUAUUGUCAACAUAUAUACAUUUUCAAAUGCAAAACUUAAUGUACAACAUGCUGAACAUAUUUUGAUACCUUAUCCUGGAUAGUUGUGCCACUUUGGUUCCUACGAAGAAUGGCCUCAUAGUGAGAACAAAAUUUGUUCACUUGCAUCUGGAUUGUCAACCAACGAUGCAUAAUGGAACUCUCUGUACGAGGAAGUGCACUAUCAUUGUUUUCUUCAUAGUAUGCAUGAACUUUCCCCCAAAAUGUAGUACGCGAUUGAUUAGCCCCGUUGAUUGGAUCCUUGCUAACACUCAACCAUCCCUUGCAAAUAACUUCAUCCUCCUUGUAAUGAAAAUUUUUUGUCCUCCUUGGUCCUCCCUUGGUACUGCGGCUUGCCUGUACUUCGUCAACUUGAAUCUCAGAACCUUGAGUGGAUGGAAUGGUAAUGUCAUCUAUACCAGCAACAAAACCCUCUGCACUAUUCAGCAAAAUGUUUUCCAAAAAAUCUCCAUCUUCAGCCAUCACAACUGCUAUACAACAAAUUCAGAACAUUGAAUUUCAUGUAAAGAUCAGGGACAACAAAUAUAAUUAAAGGGACAGCACAUCAAGUACUCCAUUUAGUGCAGCCAUCGCAUCAGAAAAAAUUCAGAGACAGCAACGACAUAGAUGGCUGAAGAUGAACAGCGACAACAACAUUGACAUAGAUGGGCAUCAAUAACAUUGAACAGGAUUCUGAGGUGAAACAACUACAAAAAUGGCAACAUAGGGACUGCCAUAUAGCAUCUUGAUCAUAUCUGAAGUUCAGCAAAAGACUCAUGAAAGAUAUCUACCAAUAAAUUCAAAAGACCACUAGUCCGCUAGCAUGCAGGUCUGAUCAGUACUAUACCAAAGUACUUCACAGUACUGGACUACUGAGCUCCUCACAACAAUAGCACUGAAUAACAGCAGGUUGCAGAAGUCCUAUCCUAUAAACACAAUCUAACAAGUUCUUGUUUCAACUACUCUUAGUAAACAACACAGUGAUGCGGCACUUGUCCAAUCAAACCUAGCAUCUUGGAUCAGUAAUGAACAAAAUUGCUUCCAGAAGAAAUGUUUGCAAUUGUAGAACUGUUAUAAAUUCUCACCACAGUCAGCGAUCAUGCAUGCACUUCCCAGUACCCAGAAGAAAGAACAAUUUCUAUCGAAAUUCAAUUAAUCCUCUCCAGUCUCCAAAGCACCAGCUCUGGUCUCUCAAACUACCCUAGAUCAGCAUCACAACACCAGUGCUCUUCAACAGAAAACCUAGGCGAGAUAAGGAUGUGGAGAGAAAAGCAUGCGGCGAGAAGAAAGUAGCCGGCAAUACCUGAUUCCCAAACUGGGCGAAGCCGGCGCGACCUUGCUCAGCGUCUUGAAGGGAACAGAAAACGGCGGACCGAUCUUCCCUGGCGCACGAAAGGAGACGGCACCGCACCCUUAUCACCUGGAUCUUGCGCCGCUCCUCUUCCAGAAAACGGCGCCGCACGAAAGGAGCCGACACCGCACGAAAGGAACAGAAAACGGCGGCGCGAAUAGAAACCGGCAGCUCCCGCUGGAACACCUGGAUCUUGCGCCUCUCCUCCUCCAGCGCGAGUAGGUACUCGCGGCAGCGGCGGCGGCGGUGGUCGGCUUGCGCGCGAGAUUGCUUUGGCGCUGAACACCACUCUGGACCGGGCGGGAAGAAGUACAGACCAGUCUGCGCGCGAGAUUUCUCUGGGUUUCGCGCGCGCGAGAAUAGGCGGGAUCGAGCGGGACGGCGAUCGGCGAGUGACAAAAUUCGCGAUACAAAGCUCCAGCCGCGCGCGUAUUUCUCCGCAGUUGAGGCCGAUGGAUGCCAAGUUGGGAUAAAUAGCAAGUUGGGAUAAGGAGUUGUUGGAGAGGAGUUUUUCAUGCUUUUAACAAAUUUUAGAGGAUAGCAAGUUGGGAUAAGGAGUUGUUGGAGAUGCUCUAAACAAGGCUGAAGUCGAACUAUACAUGACAUAGGCCUUGUUUAGUUCACCACAAAAACCAAAAACUUUUCAAGAUUCUCCGUCACAUGGAAUCUUGCAGCACAUUCAUGGAGCACUAAAUAUAGUAAAAAACAAAAACUAAUUACACAAUUUGGCUGUAAAUCACGAGAUGAAUCUUUUGAGCCUAAUUAGUUUAUAAUUAAACAAUAUUUACCACAAAUAAACGAAAGUGCUACAAUACCCAGAACUAAAAAAAAUUUAGAAACUAAACAAGGCCAUAAGAAGAGAUUUAGCAUGUUUAGCCGGGGCCAGAAAAAAUGGAUUAACUUUGCUGGUUUUUUUUGCCUGGCAUGAUCGGCAGAAAGAGCUACGGAAACACACUAACAGUAAUAGCUGCCUAUUUACAUUUGUGAUUACACAUGGCUAGCUAACUGAUGACCUUUGAAUAUUUGGGCUCUGUUCAGUUCUCAAACAUUUUAUAAAAUUUUUACAAAAUUUCAUAAAAUCUUUCGAUACAUGUAUAAAACAUUAAAUAUAGAUUUAAAAAAAAUAAUUAAUUAUAUAAUUUACAUGUAAUUUAUAAGAUAAAUCUUUUUAGCCUAAUUAAUUUAUAAUCAGAUAAUAUUUUUUAAAUGCAAACGAAGAAAAUGCUACGGUAGCUAUUUUGCGACGCCCCAGACCCACCACCUGCAGCGCAGACGACGACGACGACCACCGGGCGUAGCAGCUCCGCUCUUCCUCGCCCUUCGGCGCCAACAACUGUCGCAGCGCCGGAGUGUUCAAUUUGUGCAAGCUGAUGUGAGGAUUUUAGGAGAUACCAUGGCACUGCAAUUUUGGUACGAGAUUAAGUAUUUUGCUCAUUGGUUAAAAUUCUUGCACUGCGAAGUUGCAAAUCGACUAGUGCACAGGGGGGAAAAAAAUGGAGGCGCAGCUACACGGAAACAAACCAAAUGUGCUUCCUAUUUACAGCACAUUUGGUAACCCCUUUUGCGACAAAUUACUAUCCCCGACGCUACAUGACCAUCUCGGCCGGCGGAGGCAGGUUGAGGUCGAGUCCCAGUCCCAGCACCGACGGCGACGGCGACGACGACCCCGAGUAGCAGCUCCGCUCCGCCUCCCUCUUCACCGGCGCCAACUGCAUCGGGUUCAGGAACAGGUACGGCUGGGCGGCCACCAUCGCCGGGAAGAGCCCAAGGCCUAGGUCGAGCGACGACGGCGACUGCGACUGCGACGGAGCCGGCGGCGCAGCGACCGCUACGGUCACUGCCAGCGGGUGGUAGUCGUCGUCCCUGGUGGAGAACGAGGACGAACAAGACUCUUCCCGGGCGCUGGCGCUGGCGCUGGCGCUCGGAACCUGCGCGGCGGCGCACGGCGGCGGUGCUGGGACGACGGCGUCGGGGUAGGUGUAGUUGGUGGUGGCGCGCGGGCCGCGGAGCCUGCGCGCGGCGGCGUCGUAGGCGCGCGCGGCCUGCUCGGGCGUGUCGAAGGUGCCCAGCCACACCCGCGCCUUCCGCGCCGGGUCCCUGAUCUCCGCCGCGUACCGGCCCCACGGCCGCUUCCGCACCCCGCGCAGCCUCGGCUUCCCCUGCUCCGGCUCCGGCACCGGCAGCUCCGCCGCCGCCGUGACCUCCUCGCUGAUG